UGCAGCGUGGUCUAGUGGAGAGAACCCCGGCCUGGGAGUCCGAAGGACCCGGGUUCUAACCCCGGCUCUGCCA
RNAcentral lists this transfer RNA (73 nucleotides) under Ornithorhynchus anatinus (platypus). It matches the Rfam family "tRNA". From Rfam's summary of the family: Transfer RNA (tRNA) molecules are approximately 80 nucleotides in length. Their secondary structure includes four short double-helical elements and three loops (D, anti-codon, and T loops). Lineage: Eukaryota; Metazoa; Chordata; Mammalia; Monotremata; Ornithorhynchidae. The record is from Rfam by way of RNAcentral.